Molecule: long non-coding RNA, 329 nt
Organism: Hyalella azteca
Lineage: Eukaryota; Metazoa; Arthropoda; Malacostraca; Amphipoda; Hyalellidae
Exons: 3
Source: RefSeq, a predicted model, not a curated record
CCUUACCCUCAUACGCUGGGGGUCACCACGACCCUCACGCACUCUGGGACAUCACGUCCACAGAGCUUGGCUACGAGGUUCGGUACGGGAGCGGGGGCAGCAGCAGCAUGUAUAACGCUGCAGCUGCAGGCCCUACAGCUGCGUCGCUCAUGUGGGACGCAGCGUCUACAUCUGCAGCGCUGGCGCACCACUACCCUGCUGCCCACGACGCCUUCGCCGCUGCUGCUGCUGCCCUGCCACUGCACGACCUCUGGCAGGCACAUAACCCCUUCAGGGGGCCGUGUGUCGUGGCACACAGGUACAGCAGCAACAGCGGAGGCUCAGGCCUG